Molecule: ribosomal RNA, 3969 nt
Filed under: Triticum aestivum (bread wheat)
Lineage: Eukaryota; Viridiplantae; Streptophyta; Magnoliopsida; Poales; Poaceae
Description: partial small subunit ribosomal RNA
Source: RNAcentral
GAACCACAAUUUGAAACUCGGGUGGGAAGUAAAAGAAAGACCUUAGCGGUGACCCGGCCCCUCGACGACUGCCCACGGCGUAGACUUAGGUACGGCCUGGAGAAUAACGUUCGAGCCUUGUGUGACGAGCUUCCACUGGCCUACGGACCUCGUUGACAGCUACGUCGUCUCCCAGUCGACAAGACGUGACCUAGCCCCUCUAGUCAAAGACAGUCAAUCUCCCGAUAUUUCUCCCGUGCCCCUUAACCAGUCCUUCCUCCACCUCUUCUGACUAUAGUUCUCUUCAUUAUCUUGUUUGCAAACUGUUGCAUGGACUACGUCUCCCGCACAGCUCUAUUUACCUGUGAGGUAAAUCUCCACCUCACGUAUUGUCAUGGUACGGGGGACACAAGGUUUAACCUAGUCCUUUUCGCCAGAAAGGCCCGUUACUAAGUUAGGUUUUCCGUUCUCGAUAAAAUCCUCAAUAUGUUGUGACAGUGUGAAGUCACACCACUUUUUUUAAUGAUGUGUUUAUUUGACCUAGAAAUGUUGAAACCGUAGCAGGACACCUUCAACGACUGGUUAUUUUACGGUAAUCUUCCGUACAACUUAAAAGUUCGACGUAUAUAUACGACGACGAAAAUUUCAUUCAUCUGAUAGUAAAACGAUACCUUACUACGGUGAAGGAUCUUACAACAGACGUGGAUUAAUGGCUCCAUGAGUUGGUAUUACAACAUCCUUGGUGAUAAAAGAACACUCAAAGUUCAACUAUAAACUUAGACAGAAAAAGAACAUUGACUUUAGUCAACGAGCAUAAAGAAGUAUGACAAAUCGUAGGACGGCUACACUAGACAACGUAUGGAUUUUACAUAGUUAUGUAAAAAACACUAAACUUAUUAGUUGUACCUUAGAACAACAUGAAGAAAAUACUCCAGACUCCCUCUAACAGCUAUGGAAAGUCGAAACGGCCAUAAAGUGAAAUGUAGGAACAUAUUAACUUCGAGGCUUCACUUUAUCAUAAGUCUAACGCUCGACAACUCUUUCACGACGAUAGUCCCCUAGACCCAAUAGGAUUCUUGAAACGUCCCCACCUUAUUGAUGUAGUAUCUUCUCUAUUAACUUGAAUAAUCACCUAGUAUUCGUAGUACAUUUAUUUUUUCAAACCGUACAUCUAAGUCGACCAUCUAAAGUAUGCGUUUAAUUAGGGUAAUAUUGUUUGGUAAAAUACACUUCCAAUGUAAUCCAAUUCAAAGGUAGGUAUAAUGACAAAACAUCUAAAACGUCAAAUGUUGGUCGAUUCUCAGUUCUUACAUGACUACUACGUAACGUUAAUUUUGUAAUGCAUAUACUUUUAAACCGAGGUAAGAAAAGGAUUUAUCUAACAAUUUUGUUUUAAACACUUACUACUGACGAAAUUAUUGUUAGCGUUUAUUAGCGUUUAUAUUAAAAUAAGAAGUUAAUUUAGACGGGAGAAUGUAACGCCAAGACCUUAACUAAUGAAUACAAUGGUAUCUUUAAAAGAACUUAACAAAUAAGUACUCCCCUAAUUGAGAUGGGGUAGUAUGUUUGAAGAUGCAACUCAAUCUUCCCAACAGAUGAACUUGUACAAGGACUAGGGGUGAAAGUACUAUGUUCACACAUGACAUUUGAAAUUAUAACGAUUAACGAUCGAAAUAACCACAUGUAUUUGACUAGUGACUAAAGAAUCGUGGAUGAUUGGAUUACGUCUUAAAGGAAAACGACGGUCUCAAUCGCGAAAGGUCAUAGGUGACUUGAAGACAGCUUUAGAGUUACUUUAUCAGCACAAAAGAUGCAAAGGUGUACUGUUUUAGUCGAAUGGUAACUCGGACUCAUCCGUCUUUCAGAGUCCACACGGUCUCACAAACACAACAGUUUAGCUCAAUAAUCAGAGAAUUUUAUAAGCCUAAAAGAAAGGUACACCAUUAAAACCCGUGUAUGCUUCUACAUACAUAAUACAAACGACCGUACCACAUGAUCGUGGUCUUUUAGGUUAUAUUUUCAUUUCACUAGGAACGGCCCUAGUACUUCUCAUUGAUCGAUACUCGUCACCAUUGAUUAUUAGGUAUGACAACCACUCCUUUCCACUGUAUUUGACACCUGACGCCUCCUGACAUUACUUAAGAUUUACAUGGGUGUUAGAGUCAAGAAACAAAACAACCUCCGUUUGGCGUUUUCAGAAGAAAUCAUAACGAUGUGGACUUUGAUGAAGAGCGAGAUCGUACAAACUGAAAAAAAACAGAUGUAUAUACACUAAAAGUAGAAAGAUUUUGUCCCUUGUAGUUCUACAGCGACCGGCUACGCAUCAACGACGUGUUAUACUAUGGUAUCCACAAACUCCACUGCACGGUGCCACCGUAGCCACUAAGUAUGAGGGAGACAGACCUUUAUGAACAGCUUCUUUACGUAUUUUCACUUAUAUAGAUCUUGAUUUUAUGUAGAUCUAUGUAAGUAAGGAGGCUGCUCAUAAAGGCCUGCCUCCCUCAUAUAAGAUCCCGUACCGACCAUCACUGUAGAGACGAUGAGAUUACCACAAGAAGUAUCAUUUAUAUGUCCAAGUAAUCAGGUGUAUUCAUGAAGCAUCAUUUCCAAGGUCUUGAACACCCACUACUGCGGACACGUUCCCGUGUUCUACGUUUAAGUACACUUAUUAAACUGAGUUAUUUCUCUACGUUAAUUACAAACGUUCUUUUUUUCAUUGUCUGGCGGUUUGCAAGUAUAGAGGGAAAGAAAGGAAUCGUACAAAGAAUGAAAACCUAAAUAUAUAACAGCCGAGUAUUCUACUAACCAGAUCUAUCACCUACGAGUUACUAAGAUGUCAACUCAGUUCGUUUAAGUCAACUUCUUUAAUUCCUCAAACAUUAUUAAAACGCGUCCACUGACAUAAGGGAAAGAGUACAAUGUGAUAAUACCAAAAAAAUAGACCGUAGAAUAGAAUUUUGAUAAGACUAGAAAAUCUAGUACUGAGCACUCCUUUCUCUUAUGAUACCUUGUACUCUGGUAAAAAAAAUUACUUCUCAUCGAAAAAGGCAACUUCUCUAAUUACUUUACUUACGGGUUUCCUUCGUUCACACAUGGUUAUACCCGAGUUACCGACUUUGGUCACUUCGUAAGGUAGUUUUCCCUGUACAAUAAAAGACAAAACUUAAAGUAGUUCAAAGUACGACUGGGUACAAGAGAAAAGAUCUGAAACUUCUUCCCUCAACCAAAUGAAAAGUUUUUAAACCUUAGGGAACUACUCUUAUCUACUUACCAAAUUUAGAACACUCCUACUCUCUUAAAGACCCUUUUACUUUACCACUUAACAUACGACGAUUACCUUAUACAGUUGUCCGGAUACUCUUAACCUAACUCGACUCUCGCCUUGGUCCAUUUUUCCAUUCUUUGAAGAACAUAAGUUCCCGGCGAACAUCACAAGUUAGACAUCACGUUACAAAAUUACGAUUUAUUUCUUCCGGCCGUACCACAAUAAUCUAAUAAGAAACGGUUCAAAAUGUGGUGGUUGCCUCGGAAUAACAGGCCAAUUUUUUAUUCUUUCGUGUCUAUGAUCUAUUUGGCCUCACUCUUGGAUACAUCACAAGCAAGGUUUGUACUCAUUAAUGCGACUAAUUAUCUAACUGAAAUGUAAAAAAUGGGAUUUUUGUGAUUAAGUACCGGGAUGAUAUAAAAAAUAACGUAGUUCUUUUGUUUUCUUAAUAUGUUUUUUGCUUUUCCUUUUCCAAACUCCUAUUGUUUCGUUUUUUCCCGUCGGACCACUUACAUCGAGGGCGAACGUGUCCCAGGCUCCUUUCCAGGCUGGUGUAACCCAGAUAUCAUACGUCGGAAAAGGAUGUAAAGAAAUUCUCCAAUAAAAAUCCUGAACUGGGGCACCCGUCGUCGAAAUGGCGACGCUGUUCCGAGGGGAAGAAUCCUUUUGUUUCGUUUUGUUUUGUUUUUUCCUUCCUAUUCUUUUUAUCUUAGAUGUAUACCACU